Molecule: ribosomal RNA, 253 nt
Filed under: uncultured bacterium
Lineage: Bacteria
Description: partial 16S ribosomal RNA
Rfam family: Bacterial small subunit ribosomal RNA
Source: RNAcentral
UACGUAGGGGGCAAGCGUUAUCCGGAUUUACUGGGUGUAAAGGGAGCGUAGACGGAAUUGCAAGUCUGAUGUGAAAAUCCGGGGCCCAACCCCGGAGCUGCAUUGGAAACUGUAUUUCUAGAGUGUCGGAGAGGCAAGUGGAAUUCCUGGUGUAGCGGUGAAAUGCGUAGAUAUCAGGAGGAACACCAGUGGCGAAGGCGGCUUGCUGGACGAUGACUGACGUUGAGGCUCGAAAGCGUGGGGAGCAAACAGG